Macaca fascicularis (crab-eating macaque) is the source of this 104-nucleotide small nuclear RNA. The record is from Ensembl. NCBI's taxonomy places the organism in Eukaryota, Metazoa, Chordata, Mammalia, Primates, Cercopithecidae.
AUGCUCGCUUUGGAAGCACAUAUACUAACAUUGGACCGAUACAGAGAUUAGUGUAGCUGCCGCUCAAGGAUGACAUGCAAAUCUGUGAAGCGUUCCAUUAAAAA